AGAGUUUGAUCCUGGCUCAGAACGAACGCUGGCGGCGUGCUUAACACAUGCAAGUCGAACGAGAAACCAGAGCUUGCUCUGGUGGACAGUGGCAGACGGGUGAGUAACGCGUGGGAAUUUACCCAGGGGUAGGGAACAACAGUUGGAAACGGCUGCUAAUACCGUAUACGCCCUCCGGGGGAAAGAUUUAUCGGUGAAAGAUCGGUCCGCGUUAGAUUAGCUAGUUGGUGGGGUAAUGGCUUACCAAGGCGACGAUCCGUAGCUGGUCUGAGAGGAUGAUCAGCCACACUGGGACUGAGACACGGCCCAGACUCCUACGAGAGGCAGCAGUGGGGAAUAUUGGACAAUGGGCGCAAGCCUGAUCCAGCCAUGCCGCGUGAAUGAUGAAGGCCUUAGGGUUGUAAAAUUCUUUCAGCAGGGAAGAUAAUGACGGUACCUGCGAAAGAAGCCCCGGCUAACUCCGUGCCAGCAGCCGCGGUAAUACGGACGGGGCUAGCGUUGUUCGGAAUUACUGGGCGUAAAGCGUACGUAGGCGGAUGGGUAAGUCAGAUGUGAAAUCCCAGGGCUCAACCCUGGAACUGCAUUUGAAACUGCCAAUCUAGAGUUCAGGAGAGGUAAGCGGAAUUCCGAGUGUAGAGGUGAAAUUCGUAGAUAUUCGGAGGAACACCAGAGGCGAAGGCGGCUUACUGGACUGACACUGACGCUGAGGUACGAAAGCGUGGGGAGCAAACAGGAUUAGAUACCCUGGUAGUCCUCGCCGUAAACGAUGAGAGCUAGUUGUCAGCAAGCAUGCUUGUUGGUGACGUAGCUAACGCAUUAAGCUCUCCGCCUGGGGAGUACGGUCGCAAGAUUAAAACUCAAAGAAAUUGACGGGGGCCCGCACAAGCGGUGGAGCAUGUGGUUUAAUUCGAAGCAACGCGCAGAACCUUACCUACCCUUGACAUACCAAUCGCGGUUUCUAGAGAUAGAUUCCUUCAGUUCGGCUGGAUUGGAUACAGGUGCUGCAUGGCUGUCGUCAGCUCGUGUCGUGAGAUGUUGGGUUAAGUCCCGCAACGAGCGCAACCCUCGCCUUUAGUUGCCAGCAUUUAGUUGGGCACUCUAGAGGGACUGCCGGUGAUAAGCCGGAGGAAGGUGGGGAUGACGUCAAGUCCUCAUGGCCCUUACGGGUAGGGCUACACACGUGCUACAAUGGCGGUGACAAUGGGCAGCGACCAAAAAUCCGUCUCAGUUCGGAUUGUUCUCUGCAACUCGAGAGCAUGAAGUUGGAAUCGCUAGUAAUCGUGGAACAGCAUGCCACGGUGAAUACGUUCCCGGGCCUUGUACACACCGCCCGUCACACCAUGGGAGUUGGUUCUACCCGAAGGUGGUGCGCUAACCAGUUUACUGGAAGCAGCCAACCACGGUAAGGUCAGCGACUGGGGUGAAGUCGUAACAAGGUAACC
Molecule: ribosomal RNA, 1442 nt
Filed under: uncultured prokaryote
Description: partial 16S ribosomal RNA
Rfam family: Bacterial small subunit ribosomal RNA
Source: RNAcentral